Long non-coding RNA from Camelina sativa (false flax), 724 nucleotides. RefSeq lists it as uncharacterized. The record is from RefSeq and is a predicted model, not a curated record. NCBI's taxonomy places the organism in Eukaryota, Viridiplantae, Streptophyta, Magnoliopsida, Brassicales, Brassicaceae.
UCUUAAUUAAGGGGUUUAAGAGCCCCUAAGAGGCAGUGACGUGUUCGAUAUUUACUGGGUGAGAAAAAAAUUGUCUGUUUUGCUUCUCUCUCUUUCGCGACGACGCUUUCUCUCUUUCUCAACUCUCUGUAUCGACUCUUUCUUAUUGAGAAUCUGAGUAGAAUCAAGCUGCUUUAGCCAGAUUCUUACAAACCCUAAUCCAAUUCCCUAAUUCUCCGUUUCUCCCUCAAUGUUCUGUUUUGAGGUUAAAAACGCAUCUUUACUGAGAACUCGAAUUGCUCCUUUUCAAUUCAACCAAAUUCGGUCCAAACCCCUUGAUUUGUCUGCUCAGUCCAGUUUCUUGAACGCUUUGGUAGUGAAUGUGAUAUAGCCAUUCACUAACUAAUGAAGCACAGGGAUUGUUGUUGUCUUGCAUCCGUGAUCCAUAUCUCGUUGUCUUCUUCGAACCAAAGGCUGCAUAUUUUGGUGAGUAAGCGUGAAGAAAGGAAACUUGAGGCAGCUUGAAGGAGACAAGACACAAAAUCUUUGUCCUGAAUGUGUUUAUCAAGCGUCUGCUCCCAAAUGCUUGAUGGAAUGUGUAAAGUGGAUUUGAAUGAUUGUUUUGAAUCUCUUUGCUUAUAGUCAUGAAUCUCUGUUUUUUUUUUUUUUGUCAAUGAAUCUAUGUUUUGCAUUUGACAAGUUUUUGAUGUGAAUAUGAGCUCUUCAAAAUAAAUUCUUAAGAACC